Molecule: ribosomal RNA, 513 nt
Filed under: Candida albicans
Lineage: Eukaryota; Fungi; Ascomycota; Pichiomycetes; Serinales; Debaryomycetaceae
Description: eukaryotic LSU rRNA
Rfam family: 5.8S ribosomal RNA (bases 145-298)
Source: RNAcentral
UGGGCUACUGAUGCUUAUUGCACCACAUGUGUUUUUCUUUGAAACAAACUUGCUUUGGCGGUGGGCCCAGCCUGCCGCCAGAGGUCUAAACUUACAACCAAUUUUUUAUCAACUUGUCACACCAGAUUAUUACUUAAUAGUCAAAACUUUCAACAACGGAUCUCUUGGUUCUCGCAUCGAUGAAGAACGCAGCGAAAUGCGAUACGUAAUAUGAAUUGCAGAUAUUCGUGAAUCAUCGAAUCUUUGAACGCACAUUGCGCCCUCUGGUAUUCCGGAGGGCAUGCCUGUUUGAGCGUCGUUUCUCCCUCAAACCGCUGGGUUUGGUGUUGAGCAAUACGACUUGGGUUUGCUUGAAAGACGGUAGUGGUAAGGCGGGAUCGCUUUGACAAUGGCUUAGGUCUAACCAAAAACAUUGCUUGCGGCGGUAACGUCCACCACGUAUAUCUUCAAACUUUGACCUCAAAUCAGGUAGGACUACCCGCUGAACUUAAGCAUAUCAAAAGCGGGGAGGAA